Regulatory RNA element from Clostridiales bacterium CHKCI001, 135 nucleotides. It matches the Rfam family "Molybdenum/Tungsten riboswitch aptamer (Moco RNA motif)". Lineage: Bacteria; Bacillati; Bacillota; Clostridia; Eubacteriales. The record is from Rfam.
AGGAUUAAUAGACUCCGAGCGACUUAAUCUAAGGGCAGUGCCUAUGAUUAUGAGCCGUCAGAGAAACUCUGGCCAGGGUUGGAAUGGAAACAGACCAGCCUUCCUUAUUUGAAAAGGAGCCUUUUUGCUAUGAAA